UACGGAGGGUGCAAGCGUUGUCCGGAUUUAUUGGGUUUAAAGGGUGCGUAGGCGGCCCGGUAAGUCAGUGGUGAAAGCCUCCAGCUCAACUGGAGAACUGCCAUUGAUACUGCCGGGCUUGAGUACAGACGAGGUUGGCGGAAUUGAUUGUGUAGCGGUGAAAUGCAUUGAUACAAUCAAGAACUCCGAUUGCGUAGGCAGCUAACUAGGCUGUAACUGACGCUGAGGCACGAAAGCGUGGGGAGCGAACAGG
This 253-nucleotide ribosomal RNA is filed under the name uncultured bacterium. RNAcentral describes it as "partial 16S ribosomal RNA". It matches the Rfam family "Bacterial small subunit ribosomal RNA", at positions 524 to 776 of the family's 1533-position model. The record is from RNAcentral.